GACGAACGCUGGCGGCGUGCUUAACACAUGCAAGUCGAACGGAAAGGCCCUGCUUUUGUGGGGUGCUCGAGUGGCGAACGGGUGAGUAACACGUGAGUAACCUGCCCUUGACUUUGGGAUAACUUCAGGAAACUGGGGCUAAUACCGGAUAGGAGCUCCUGCUGCAUGGUGGGGGUUGGAAAGUUUCGGCGGUUGGGGAUGGACUCGCGGCUUAUCAGCUUGUUGGUGGGGUAGUGGCUUACCAAGGCUUUGACGGGUAGCCGGCCUGAGAGGGUGACCGGCCACAUGGCGACUGAGAUACGGCCCAGUCGCCUACGGGAGGCAGAAGUGGGGAAUAUUGCACAAUGGGCGGGAGCCGGAUGCAGCAACGCCGCGUGCGGGAUGACGGCCUUCGGGUUGUAAACCGCUUUCGCCUGUGACGAAGCGUGAGUGACGGUAAUGGGUAAAGAAGCACCGGCUAACUACGUG
RNAcentral lists this ribosomal RNA (468 nucleotides) under uncultured bacterium. RNAcentral describes it as "partial 16S ribosomal RNA". It matches the Rfam family "Bacterial small subunit ribosomal RNA", at positions 28 to 507 of the family's 1533-position model. The record is from RNAcentral.